RNAcentral lists this ribosomal RNA (555 nucleotides) under uncultured fungus. Its description in RNAcentral is "SSU rRNA". It matches the Rfam family "Eukaryotic small subunit ribosomal RNA", at positions 195 to 755 of the family's 1831-position model. Lineage: Eukaryota; Fungi. The record is from RNAcentral.
GGAAGGGGUGUAUUAUUAGAUAAAAAACCAAUGCCCUUUGGGCUCCUUGGUGACUCAUGAUAACUAAACGAAUCGCAUGGCCUUGCGCCGGCGAUGGUUCAUUCAAAUUUCUGCCCUAUCAACUUUCGAUGGUAGGAUAGUGGCCUACCAUGGUGGCAACGGGUAACGGGGAAUUAGGGUUCGAUUCCGGAGAGGGAGCCUGAGAAACGGCUACCACAUCCAAGGAAGGCAGCAGGCGCGCAAAUUACCCAAUCCCGAUUCGGGGAGGUAGUGACAAUAAAUACUGAUACAGGGCUCUUUUGGGUCUUGUAAUUGGAAUGAGUACAAUUUAAAUCCCUUAACGAGGAACAAUUGGAGGGCAAGUCUGGUGCCAGCAGCCGCGGUAAUUCCAGCUCCAAUAGCGUAUAUUAAAGUUGUUGCAGUUAAAAAGCUCGUAGUUGAACCUUGGGCCUAGCUGGCCGGUCCGCCUCACCGCGAGUACUGGACCGGCUGGGCCUUUCCUUCUGGGGAACCCCAUGGCCUUCACUGGCUGUGGCGGGGAACCAGGACUUUUAC